AUGAAGACCUUGUUCAUCCUUGCUCUCCUCACCCUCGCGGGGACCAACGCUGUUGCGCAGUUGGACACUACCUGUAACCAGGGCUCCGAGCAAUGUCAGCAGCAGCAACAACCAUGGCAACAAUGGCAGCAGCAGAUGGACCCAUGUGUGCAAUUCCUGCGGCAGCAAUGCAGCACAGUGACACUGCCAUUUGUGCAGUCGCGUAUGUGGCAACUUAGCAGUUGCCAUAUAAUGCGACACCAGUGCUGCCAGCAGCUAGCGCAGAUCCCAGAGCAGUUCAGGUGCCGUGCUAUUCACAACAUGGCUCAAGCCAUCAUGCAGCCGCAACCCGAGCAAUGGCAGGGUAUGUCCCAGUCCCAGCGGCAAGCCCCGCUUGAGGUCAUGAGGAUGUCGCUUCAGAUCUUGCCGUCGAUGUGCGGCGUGUACGUCCCGACAUACUGCAACUCCCUACGGCAUCCAUAUGGCCAGAAUUGA
This 474-nucleotide ribosomal RNA is filed under the name Triticum aestivum (bread wheat). Its description in RNAcentral is "partial small subunit ribosomal RNA". The record is from RNAcentral. Lineage: Eukaryota; Viridiplantae; Streptophyta; Magnoliopsida; Poales; Poaceae.